AACGAACGCUGGCGGCGUGCCUAACACAUGCAAGUCGAGCGAGAAAGUCCCGGCAACGGGAUGAGAACAGCGGCGAACGGGUGAGUAACGCGUGGGUAUCUGCCCUCCAGACUGCGAUAACCUGCCGAAAGGUGGGCUAAUAGCGGAUAACGUUCUUGUGGGGAUCCUGCGGGAACCAAAGGGGGGCGAGCGUAAGCAGCUCUCACUGGAGGAGGAGCCUGCGUCCGAUUAGCUAGUUGGUGGGGUAAUGGCCUACCAAGGCGACGAUCGGUAGCCGGCCUGAGAGGGCGACCGGCCACACUGGAACUGAGACACGGUCCAGACUCCUACGGGAGGCAGCAGUGGGGAAUAUUGCGCAAUGGGCGAAAGCCUGACGCAGCGACGCCGUGUGGGUGAUGAAGGCCUUCGGGUCGUAAAGCCCUGUCGGGUGGAACGAAUCUCUCGGUGGCGAAUACCCACCGGGAUUGACGGUACCACCGAAGGAAGCUCCGGCUAACAACGUGCCAGCAGCAGCCGCCG
Molecule: ribosomal RNA, 519 nt
Filed under: uncultured bacterium
Lineage: Bacteria
Description: partial 16S ribosomal RNA
Rfam family: Bacterial small subunit ribosomal RNA
Source: RNAcentral